This 67-nucleotide transfer RNA is filed under the name Marmota monax (woodchuck). Its description in RNAcentral is "tRNA.Ala". Lineage: Eukaryota; Metazoa; Chordata; Mammalia; Rodentia; Sciuridae. The record is from RNAcentral.
GGUUAUGGCUCAGUGGUAAAGUGUUUGCCUCGCAUGCAUGGGACACUGGGUUCAGUCCUCAGCACCA